UAUAAUAUCCGGCCGUUGUUUGACUGC
RNAcentral lists this non-coding RNA (27 nucleotides) under Bombyx mori (domestic silkworm). Lineage: Eukaryota; Metazoa; Arthropoda; Insecta; Lepidoptera; Bombycidae. The record is from RNAcentral.